UUCGAAGGGGGCUAACGUUGCUCGGAAUGACUGGGCGUAAAGGGCGCGUAGGCGGCUUACAUAGUUAGGCGUGAAAUUCCUGCGCUCAACCUGGGGACUGCGUCUAAUACAUGUAGGCUUGAGUGUGAAAGAGGGUCGUGGAAUUUCCAGUGUAGAGGUGAAAUUCGUAGAUAUUGGAAAGAACGCCGGUGGCGAAGGCGGCGACCUGGUUCAUUACUGACGCUGAGGCGCGAAAGCGUGGGGAGCAAACAGG
Molecule: ribosomal RNA, 253 nt
Filed under: uncultured bacterium
Lineage: Bacteria
Description: partial 16S ribosomal RNA
Rfam family: Bacterial small subunit ribosomal RNA
Source: RNAcentral